AAGUAAAAUAUGCCGAAUCCCCGAAAAGGGGUACGGGGGAUUUUUCUUUGGGGUGAAUCCACUUAGGUGGUAGGGCGGCCCUUUGCCCGAACCCGUCAACUAACCUCGGAGGCAAAAGGGGGAUUUUUA
Molecule: small RNA, 129 nt
Filed under: Thermoanaerobacterium saccharolyticum
Lineage: Bacteria; Bacillati; Bacillota; Clostridia; Thermoanaerobacterales; Thermoanaerobacteraceae
Description: c-di-AMP sequence
Rfam family: c-di-AMP riboswitch aptamer (ydaO/yuaA leader)
About the family: This family represents a conserved RNA structure found upstream of the ydaO and yuaA genes in Bacillus subtilis and related genes in other bacteria. The ydaO/yuaA element is thought to act as a genetic "off" switch for the ydaO and yuaA genes in its native state.
Source: RNAcentral